This 782-nucleotide long non-coding RNA is filed under the name Pan troglodytes (chimpanzee). RNAcentral's name for it is "long non-coding RNA NONPTRT012902". The record is from RNAcentral. Lineage: Eukaryota; Metazoa; Chordata; Mammalia; Primates; Hominidae.
GCCCUUUACAGUCAGCCCUUUAAAGAGCCUUCCCUUUUAGGACUUCCCUGGAGUCUCUUUUCCUUCCCACUCCUUACCUCCCUCCCUGCUAAGGAAAAAAAAAAUAGCCUCCUUGGAAGUUGAAGGGAAUGCAGUCCUGGGCCACCCUGCCUGAGAGAGAGCCUGGGAAAUGUCCUUUGUAGCUGAGGACACAGCCCCACCUCCACCCCACCCAGCAACAAAGGGGCCAACAUGAAGAAAGAGAGGAAGGGCAGAUUGGGGCAGGUCACCGGAAAUCUCUGUUGCAAAGUCCACAUCCCCUGUGGAAAGUGCCAGCACAGCCCACCUGUACCCUGGGGCUUGAAGCCUGCCCCUUAUCCCAGCUGGGGCUCUCCGUCACAUGCCCGUGACUACUGCCCGGCGAGGACUCCCGUGCAGACCAGCUCCCUAGGGCCCUGGGCCCGCUGUGCCCAUCUGUGCCAGCCAAGGACGGGCAGCAGGGGCGAAGAUAGGAUGUGACCCCUGCCCCUGAAGACUCGAUCCAGGAGACAGAGCCAAGGUCACACAGAGGACAGAGUGCGUGGGACCCCCUGACACCCCAUCCUUCCCAGCAGCUCAUCCUGCUGGUGGCCCAGAUCCAUGAUGAGCUGCUGUUUGAAGUGGAAGAUCCGCAGAUCCCGGAGUGUGCAGGUAGCCUGGGGCAACACAGGGUUGCUUGGACGUCACAGACAGCUAAGAGGAGGCUCCAUGCCCCAUGGGCACAGCCCAGGAAAGCCCCCCGGCUGUCUUCCCUUUUAUGGCCC